This 451-nucleotide ribosomal RNA is filed under the name uncultured bacterium. RNAcentral describes it as "partial 16S ribosomal RNA". It matches the Rfam family "Bacterial small subunit ribosomal RNA", at positions 29 to 523 of the family's 1533-position model. The record is from RNAcentral.
AGCGAACGCUGGCGGCAGGCUUAACACAUGCAAGUCGAACGCUCGUAGCAAUACGGGAGUGGCAGACGGGUGAGUAACGCGUGGGAAUAUGCCUUUUGGUUCGGAAUAACUCAGGGAAACUUGAGCUAAUACCGGAUAAGCCCGUGAGGGGAAAGAUUUAUCGCCAAAAGAUUAGCCCGCGUCCGAUUAGCUAGUUGGUGAGGUAAUGGCUCACCAAGGCGACGAUCGGUAGCUGGUCUGAGAGGAUGAUCAGCCACAUUGGGACUGAGACACGGCCCAAACUCCUGCGGGAGGCAGCAGUGGGGAAUAUUGGACAAUGGGCGCAAGCCUGAUCCAGCCAUGCCGCGUGAGUGAUGAAGGCCUUAGGGUUGUAAAGCUCUUUUGUCCGGGAAGAUAAUGACGGUACCGGAAGAAUAAGCCCCGGCUAGCUUCGUGCCAGCAGCCGCGGUAA